RNAcentral lists this ribosomal RNA (409 nucleotides) under uncultured bacterium. Its description in RNAcentral is "bacterial SSU rRNA". It matches the Rfam family "Bacterial small subunit ribosomal RNA", at positions 350 to 751 of the family's 1533-position model. The record is from RNAcentral.
AGCAGUGGGGAAUAUUGGUCAAUGGGCGAAAGCCUGAUCCAGCCAUGCCGCGUGUGUGAAGAAGGUCUUCGGAUUGUAAAGCACUUUAAGUUGGGAGGAAGGGCAGUAAAUUAAUACUUUGCUGUUUUGACGUUACCGACAGAAUAAGCACCGGCUAACUCUGUGCCAGCAGCCGCGGUAAUACAGAGGGUGCAAGCGUUAAUCGGAAUUACUGGGCGUAAAGCGCGCGUAGGUGGUUCGUUAAGUUGGAUGUGAAAUCCCCGGGCUCAACCUGGGAACUGCAUUCAAAACUGACGAGCUAGAGUAUGGUAGAGGGUGGUGGAAUUUCCUGUGUAGCGGUGAAAUGCGUAGAUAUAGGAAGGAACACCAGUGGCGAAGGCGACCACCUGGACUGAUACUGACACUGAGG